GAGGGUAUAGCUCAAGCAGUAGAGCACAUGCUUAGCACGCUUGAGGUCCUGGGUUCAAUCCCCAGUACCUCCU
This 73-nucleotide transfer RNA is filed under the name Camelus bactrianus (Bactrian camel). It matches the Rfam family "tRNA". Rfam says of the family: Transfer RNA (tRNA) molecules are approximately 80 nucleotides in length. Their secondary structure includes four short double-helical elements and three loops (D, anti-codon, and T loops). RNAcentral also lists the same sequence under 2 other names. The record is from Rfam by way of RNAcentral. Lineage: Eukaryota; Metazoa; Chordata; Mammalia; Artiodactyla; Camelidae.